RNAcentral lists this long non-coding RNA (636 nucleotides) under Malus domestica (apple). RNAcentral's name for it is "long non-coding RNA (MDOM_LNC006122)". The record is from RNAcentral. Lineage: Eukaryota; Viridiplantae; Streptophyta; Magnoliopsida; Rosales; Rosaceae.
UUAUCGUGUAUCGUGUUACCCACGUGUAUACCCGAACCAACCCGUUACUUGUUAAUUUCGUGUCGUGUCGUGUCGGAUUAUCGGAUCGUUUCAGGAAUUGCCAGGCCUAGUGCAAAGACAUGCAUAAAAACGUGUCAUUUUCGAUCAAUGUAAUUACGUGACAUUCGUUUCCACACGUGUCAACUGGAAACUUGAAAACUCCGGAAGCUUCAUUUGGCCCUCCACAUCUUCUGGAACUUGAACCACAUCCUCAGCGUUUGUGUCGCUGUUGCAGGAAGACAAGCGCAGCAGGCAGGUAUGAGAUCUAACUCUAAUCUUAACUAGUAUGUCUACUGUAUCAGUUUGUUGGGUUACUUUGGUUAACUGAUCACAAAAACAAACUUUAAUAUUUUUCACCGAUCAAUCCGAAGUUUUCCAUAAUUUUCACUCAACUGUAAGUUCUUCGAGUCACUGGGACGUGUCUAAUUUUAUUAUGCUUUUAGUGUUUAUUGUUCAGUUAUUAACCCGUUGAACUGGGUAUGUACAAUCAAGGUUCACUUUCUUUUAGUUACACUUUGCAGUCAAAAUAUUAGGCCAAAAAAAAAAAAUUGCAGUAAAACUGAACUAGGGGCUGUCGGAAUAUUAGAUCUAUUCCUU